AUGGUCUACUCCAAAACCAUAGCUUGCAUGUUCACCAUGCUGCUCCUUGCUCCGGCCAUCAUGGCCACGGACCCUGACCCUCUCCAGGACUUCUGUGUGGCCGACCUCGACGACAACGCAGUCCGGGUGAACGGAUACCCGUGCGUGCCCCAGUCGGAAGCCGGCGACGACUUCCUCUUCUCCUCCAAGCUAGCCAGGGGCGGCAACACGUCCACCCCGAACGGCUCGGCCGUGACGAGGCUGGACGUGACGGAGUUCCCCGGCGAGAACACGCAGGGUAUCUCCAUGAACCGCGUGGACUUCGCGCCCGGGGGCACCAACCCGCCGCACAUCCACCCGCGCGCCACCGAGAUCGGCCUCGUGGUGAAAGGCGAGCUCCUCGUGGGCAUCAUCGGCAGCAACGAGUCCGGGAACAGGCUCUACUCCAGGGUGGUGCGCGCCGGCGAGAACUUCCUCAUCCCGCGCGGCCUCAUGCACUUCCAGUUCAACACCGGCGACACUGUGGCCACCAUGUUUGUCUCCUUCAACAGCCAGAACCCCGGCAUCGUCUUCGUGCCGCUCACGCUCUUCGGCUCCGACCCGCCCAUCCCCACGCCGGUGCUCACUAGGGCUCUCCGGGUGGACGCCGGGGUGGUCGAACUUCUCAAGUCCAGGUUCGCCGGUGGGUCUU
Molecule: ribosomal RNA, 670 nt
Filed under: Triticum aestivum (bread wheat)
Lineage: Eukaryota; Viridiplantae; Streptophyta; Magnoliopsida; Poales; Poaceae
Description: partial small subunit ribosomal RNA
Source: RNAcentral